This 384-nucleotide ribosomal RNA is filed under the name uncultured bacterium. Its description in RNAcentral is "bacterial SSU rRNA". It matches the Rfam family "Bacterial small subunit ribosomal RNA", at positions 28 to 410 of the family's 1533-position model. The record is from RNAcentral.
GAUGAACGCUAGCGGCAGGCUUAAUACAUGCAAGUCGUGGGGCAGCAUGAGUAGCAAUACUUGAUGGCGACCGGCAAACGGGUGAGGAACACGUACACAACCUUCCUUCAAGCGGGGAAUAGCCCAGAGAAAUUUGGAUUUAAUACCCCAUAAUAUAUUUGAUAAGGCAUCUUAUUAAUAUUAAAGCUUCGGCACUUGAUGAUGGGUGUGCGGCUGAUUAGAUAGUUGGCGGGUAACGGCCCACCAAGUCUACGAUCAGUAGCUGAUGUGAGAGCAUGAUCAGCCACACGGGCACUGAGACACGGGCCCGAUCCUACGGGAUGCAGCAGUAAGGAUAUUGGACAAUGGACGAAAGUCUGAUCCAGCCAUGCCGCGUGAAGGAUU